RNAcentral lists this long non-coding RNA (552 nucleotides) under Elaeis guineensis (African oil palm). RNAcentral's name for it is "long non-coding RNA (EGUI_LNC045474)". The record is from RNAcentral. Lineage: Eukaryota; Viridiplantae; Streptophyta; Magnoliopsida; Arecales; Arecaceae.
GAGCAAGUCACCACAUGUAGGUUUUGAGAUGGCCUACACAGCCUACGGCAGUCCACCAUCACGCAUUCUGAUUCUUAGUCACCAUCGGACUAGAAGUCUUACAGAGAUCACUGGAUGUGGACGGACGUAUGGGAGGCUCUCUAUGAUCAAUAAAGUAGUGAGAAGUAUGCUAAUAGGUGGUAGAGUGCUCGACAGAAUUAGGCCACCCAGUAGGAUCUAAUCAGACACACGGGCGGCUCCAUUGGCACAUCUUAUGGCCGACAGACUGAUAAAAAAUCUAUAUCAAAAUUCUUCAGUAAAACUAUAAAAACUCUUAUAUGCAUACUUUAAUUAAUUUAAUUUUAUUAUUUAGUUAUUAUAGAUACGGUAGUUGGUUCGUCCACCAGACUAGCUACAGUUGUGGUGGACCACACACUAGUUUAGGAGGACUUAUGACUAUUCAGAUUCUACGUCGCAGCAGAUCGUGGUAAGAACUUCAAACUAUAUUUUUUAAGCUAUUACAGGAUCUGAUAUGUAUAUUAAAACUAAUAUAUUUCUGAACUAUGUAGGUGG